Long non-coding RNA from Ornithodoros turicata, 628 nucleotides. RefSeq lists it as uncharacterized. The record is from RefSeq and is a predicted model, not a curated record. Lineage: Eukaryota; Metazoa; Arthropoda; Arachnida; Ixodida; Argasidae. The transcript has 2 exons.
CCAACUCCUCUGUUUAAUAAAGAAUUUCUGUUGCACGUAUGCGUCCCCGUAGACGCCAAUGUAUUUUUGCGCUUGAUUUCACGAAAUACAUUCGUUUGUUCUCCUCUAUUUAACGAAGUCUCUGGGCAACGAAAGCCUUCUGCACGUGUCUUUCCCCUUCACCACCAAGAAGAGGGGAAGGAGAAACUUUCCCCUCUCCGUUGUCCUCACGCGAGUUUUCGGUUGUCACGUGCUGUGGGCACGAGCGUGUAGACAUGUGCGUAUGUGCGCUGCCAGCAAUUUUCGGUGCGCCGACGCCGUUUAGAAAUCGGCGCGAGGGCCUGAAGAGGCUGAGGGCUUUUCGUACCUGUUUUCGGACAAGAAAACACGCAUUGCUGGCUUUUCCUGAAGUCUAAUUUGCUGUUGCUGAUGGCCAUGACACAUUCAACGGGGGUGUACUCUCGUUCUUUCCCCGACGUCAUGAGUGCAAGUGAAUCAACCAAGAAACGUCGAUACGCGAGUGCACAGGAGAAAGCUGUAGAGGUCAUCCGGAAUUACGAAAGUUGUGGACACUCAGUGCGAUAUUGUACACAAGUUACGUAUUAUCGAGCGUUCUGUGAUGAAUAAAGCUUGAUAUUUUGUGCCCUUC